UACGUAGGGUGCAAGCGUUAGUCGGAAUUACUGGGCGUAAAGCGUGCGCAGGCGGUGAUGUAAGACAGAUGUGAAAUCCCCGGGCUCAACCUGGGAACUGCAUUUGUGACUGCAUCGCUGGAGUGCGGCAGAGGGGGAUGGAAUUCCGCGUGUAGCAGUGAAAUGCGUAGAUAUGCGGAGGAACACCGAUGGCGAAGGCAAUCCCCUGGGCCUGUACUGACGCUCAUGCACGAAAGCGUGGGGAGCAAACAGG
This 253-nucleotide ribosomal RNA is filed under the name uncultured bacterium. RNAcentral's name for it is "partial 16S ribosomal RNA". It matches the Rfam family "Bacterial small subunit ribosomal RNA", at positions 524 to 776 of the family's 1533-position model. The record is from RNAcentral.